RNAcentral lists this transfer RNA (78 nucleotides) under Dictyobacter arantiisoli. Its description in RNAcentral is "tRNA-Ala". It matches the Rfam family "tRNA". From Rfam's summary of the family: Transfer RNA (tRNA) molecules are approximately 80 nucleotides in length. Their secondary structure includes four short double-helical elements and three loops (D, anti-codon, and T loops). The record is from RNAcentral. Lineage: Bacteria; Bacillati; Chloroflexota; Ktedonobacteria; Ktedonobacterales; Dictyobacteraceae.
UGGGCUUGUAGCGCAGCUGGUAGAGCGCCUCCAUGGCAUGGAGGAGGUCAGGAGUUCGAGUCUCCUCAGGUCCACCCA